This is a small nuclear RNA of Megalops cyprinoides (Indo-Pacific tarpon), 137 nucleotides long. RefSeq annotates it as U11 spliceosomal RNA. The record is from RefSeq and is a predicted model, not a curated record. The transcript has a single exon. NCBI's taxonomy places the organism in Eukaryota, Metazoa, Chordata, Actinopteri, Elopiformes, Megalopidae.
AAAAAGGGCGUGUACCAUGACUGGUACAGGGGUGGGAUGGGAAACCAUCUCGCUCCUGCGGAAUCGAUAUCAAGAGAUUUCGGACGCACAAUUUUUGUCAUUUAGGGCUGCCGAUGAUCGUUUAUCUUGGCGCCCUU